UACGGAGGGUGCAAGCGUUAAUCGGAAUUACUGGGCGUAAAGCGCGCGUAGGUGGCUUGAUAAGCCGGUUGUGGAAGCCCCGGGCUCAACCUGGGAACGGCAUCCGAAACUGGCAGGCUAGAGUCUUGUAGAGGGGGGUAGAAUUCCAGGUGUAGCGGUGAAAUGCGUAGAGAUCGGGAGGAAUACCAGUGGCGAAGGCGGCCUUCUGGUCUGACACUGACGCUGAGGUGCGAAAGCGUGGGUAGCAAGCAGG
RNAcentral lists this unclassified non-coding RNA (253 nucleotides) under uncultured Halomonadaceae bacterium. Its description in RNAcentral is "contains 16S-23S intergenic spacer region". It matches the Rfam family "Bacterial small subunit ribosomal RNA", at positions 524 to 776 of the family's 1533-position model. The record is from RNAcentral. Lineage: Bacteria; Pseudomonadati; Pseudomonadota; Gammaproteobacteria; Oceanospirillales; Halomonadaceae.